GCGGAGGAAAAGAAACCAACAGGGAUUGCCCUAGUAACGGCGAGUGAAGCGGCAACAGCUCAAAUUUGAAAUCUGGCGUCUUUGGCGUCCGAGUUGUAAUUUGCAGAGGGCGCUUUGGCGUUGGCAGCGGUCCAAGUUCCUUGGAACAGGACGUCACAGAGGGUGAGAAUCCCGUACGUGGUCGCUGGCCUUCGCCGUGUAAAGCCCCUUCGACGAGUCGAGUUGUUUGGGAAUGCAGCUCUAAAUGGGAGGUAAAUUUCUUCUAAAGCUAAAUACUGGCCAGAGACCGAUAGCGCACAAGUAGAGUGAUCGAAAGAUGAAAAGCACUUUGGAAAGAGAGUCAAACAGCACGUGAAAUUGUUAAAAGGGAAGCGCUUGCAGCCAGACUUGCCUGUAGUUGCUCAUCCGGACUUUUGUCCGGUGCACUCUUCUAUAGGCAGGCCAGCAUCAGUUUGGGCGGUUGGAUAAAGGUCUCUGUCAUGUACCUCUCUUCGGGGAGAACUUAUAGGGGAGACGACAUGCAACCAGCCUGGACUGAGGUCCGCGCAUUUGCUAGGAUGCUGGCGUAAUGGCUGUAAGCGGCCCGUCUUGAAACACGGACCAAGGAGUCUAACAUCUAUGCGAGUGUUUGGGUGUCAAGCCCGAACGCGUAAUGAAAGUGAACGGAGGUGGGAACCUUUCGGGGUGCACCAUCGACCGAUCCUGAUGUCUUCGGAUGGAUUUGAGUAAGAGCAUAGCUGUUGGGACCCGAAAGAUGGUGAACUAUGCUUGAAUAGGGUGAAGCCAGAGGAAACUCUGGUGGAGGCUCGCAGCGGUUCUGACGUGCAAAUCGAUCGUCAAAUUUGGGCAUAGGGGCGAAAGACUAAUCGAACUAUCUAGUAGC
Molecule: small RNA, 883 nt
Filed under: Ascochyta sp. 1 NV-2015
Lineage: Eukaryota; Fungi; Ascomycota; Dothideomycetes; Pleosporales; Didymellaceae
Description: eukaryotic LSU rRNA
Rfam family: Eukaryotic large subunit ribosomal RNA
Source: RNAcentral